CUCGCGAGCCGCGAGCUUCGAGAGGGGGACGCAUUGGGAACACUUGCUGCAAGGCCAGGUGAUGGCGAGCUAGACCCAAAGAAUUCUAGGCCCACACCGCCUGAAGAACCCUGGAGCGUGAACUGAACUGGACCUCCUGCACCUCCUCCACCUGGUUGGGCUGGUAGGAGGCUCCUUUAAGGCAGCCGCCCCUUUCUUUUACUUUUUGCCCCUCGCAACAACUCAUUCUUGGCCCAAACCCAUUCACCACUCGUUCAACACUCCCUUUCCCUGGACACUGCCCUUUCCCUCUGGACGAUUUGGGCCACUGAACUGUUGUGUGUGUUCUAUCUCGGGUGAACUUCAGAACUCUUUCGCGCGUCUAAUGGAUCGUUUCUCGCGUGAUAAUGGAUCCAUCGAAUAAUGUUUUCUUGUGAAAUAAUUGUGACUUAAUUCUGUACUUCUCAUGAAUGGCCAUUAACUUUAAAUGUUAAAUGUUGUUUGUCUAUGUCAAAAUAUAAUAUAAUUGGUACCACCUAAAACUUAUAUCAUUGUGUUCAGUCUCCUUUCCUCCACUCCUAGAGCCGAACUUAGAUCUGUCUGAUCUCUAGCCCAAUUCAACCAAUACUCUAACUGCAAACUAGUACUAAUACAGCGCUAAUAGUAGCGGCAUAUAGGCUACACUAGACCAUGACAAGUUGUUUUGAUCAUCAAGUAAAAUAUUAGAUUGUUCAUUGUUCUUUUGUCAUUUUGUCUCAUUUCUGUAAUAUUUUGUCUUGCUUUUGUUGUUUUGUCUUUUUUGUCUUGCUUUAGUCGUUUGUGUAAUUUUUUGUCGUUUUGUUUCUCGUUUUUGUCGUUUUGUUUCCGUUUGUCUCGCUUGUGUUUAUCUCACUUCUGCCAUUUGUGUUUUGUUUUAUUCAUUGUUUUGUGUAUUGUUUGUGUCGUUUUGUGCUUCCUUAUUGUCUCGCUUGUGUCAUUUGUCAAUUUUUUGUCAUUUUGUUUCUCAUUUUUGUCAAUUUGUGUCUCAUUUUUGUAAUAUUUUGUCUUGUUUUUGGUUUUUUUGACUUUUUUUGUCUGGCUUUUGUUGUUUGUCUCAUUUUUGUCAUUUUGUGUGCCAUUUUUGCAAUUUUUGUCUAAUUUUUGUAUUUUUUCCUCUUGUUUUGGUCAUUUUGU
Amphiprion ocellaris (clown anemonefish) is the source of this 1152-nucleotide long non-coding RNA. The record is from Ensembl. Lineage: Eukaryota; Metazoa; Chordata; Actinopteri; Pomacentridae.